This 224-nucleotide ribosomal RNA is filed under the name uncultured bacterium. RNAcentral describes it as "partial 16S ribosomal RNA". It matches the Rfam family "Bacterial small subunit ribosomal RNA", at positions 15 to 244 of the family's 1533-position model. The record is from RNAcentral.
GAUCUGGCUCAGGAUGAACGCUGGCGGCGUGCCUAAUACAUGCAAGUCGAACGCUUCACUUCGGUGAAGAGUGGCGAACGGGUGAGUAAUACAUAAGUAACCUGGCAUCUACAGGGGGAUAACUGAUGGAAACGUCAGCUAAGACCGCAUAGGUGUAGAGAUCGCAUGAACUCUAUAUGAAAAGUGCUACGGGACUGGUAGAUGAUGGACUUAUGGCGCAUUAG